UACGUAGGUGGCAAGCGUUGUUCGGAAUAACUGGGCGUAAAGGAUGCGUAGGCGGUUAAACAAGUUAUAUGUUAAAUAUAUAGGCUUAACCUGUAGAAAGCAUAUAAAACUGUUUAACUAGAGUGCAGGAGAGGUAAGUGGAAUUCCUAGUGUAGCGGUGAGAUGCGUAGAGAUUAGGAAGAACACCAGUGGCGAAGGCGACUUACUGGACUGUAACUGACGCUGAGGCAUGAGAGCAUGGGGAGCAAACAGG
Molecule: ribosomal RNA, 253 nt
Filed under: uncultured bacterium
Lineage: Bacteria
Description: partial 16S ribosomal RNA
Rfam family: Bacterial small subunit ribosomal RNA
Source: RNAcentral